CUUGGCCUUGCCGCGAUCGAGAGAGCGCGCAAGCGUCAGGCCUCUCGACUGACUUGGCUCAGGCUGGGCGACGUGGGAACCAAAAUUUUCCAUGCAAAGUUCCAUUCACGCCGAAGGAAGAACUACAUCCACAACCUACUGACGAACGACGGGGUCACCACGUCGCACGAAGACAAGGAAGCAGCCAUCUUCGAACACUUCAAAUCCAUCCUAGGCUCCAAAGGGACUCGACCAACAACCAUCAACUGGAGCCAACUUCAACUGCCCACAAUCAGAGGAGGUGGCCUAGAUAACCCUUUCAGAGAGGACGAGGUU
Molecule: ribosomal RNA, 315 nt
Filed under: Triticum aestivum (bread wheat)
Lineage: Eukaryota; Viridiplantae; Streptophyta; Magnoliopsida; Poales; Poaceae
Description: partial small subunit ribosomal RNA
Source: RNAcentral